UAAGGGCGCACGGUGGAUGCCUUGGCACUAGAAGCCGAUGAAGGACGUUACUAACGACGAUAUGCUUUGGGGAGCUGUAAGUAAGCUUUGAUCCAGAGAUUUCCGAAUGGGGAAACCCAGCAUGAGUUAUGUCAUGUUAUCGAUAUGUGAAUACAUAGCAUAUCAGAAGGCACACCCGGAGAACUGAAACAUCUUAGUACCCGGAGGAAGAGAAAGAAAAUUCGAUUCCCUUAGUAGCGGCGAGCGAAACGGGAAGAGCCCAAACCAACAAGCUUGCUUGUUGGGGUUGUAGGACACUCUAUACGGAGUUACAAAGGACGACAU
RNAcentral lists this ribosomal RNA (324 nucleotides) under Staphylococcus aureus. Its description in RNAcentral is "partial 23S ribosomal RNA". It matches the Rfam family "Bacterial large subunit ribosomal RNA", at positions 12 to 335 of the family's 2925-position model. The record is from RNAcentral. Lineage: Bacteria; Bacillati; Bacillota; Bacilli; Caryophanales; Staphylococcaceae.